Molecule: ribosomal RNA, 468 nt
Filed under: uncultured bacterium
Lineage: Bacteria
Description: partial 16S ribosomal RNA
Rfam family: Bacterial small subunit ribosomal RNA
Source: RNAcentral
GACGAACGCUGGCGGCGUGCUUAACACAUGCAAGUCGAACGGAAAGGCUCUGCUUUUGUGGGGUGCUCGAGUGGCGAACGGGUGAGUAACACGUGAGUAACCUGCCCUUGACUUUGGGAUAACUUCAGGAAACUGGGGCUAAUACCGGAUAGGAGCUCCUGCUGCAUGGUGGGGGUUGGAAAGUUUCGGCGGAUGGGGAUGGACUCGCGGCUUAUCAGCUUGUUGGUGGGGUAGUGGCUUACCAAGGCUUUGACGGGUAGCCGGCCUGAGCGGGUGACCGGCCACAUUGGGACUGAGAUACGGCCCAGACUCCUACGGGAGGCAGCAGUGGGGAAUAUUGCACAAUGGGCGGAAGCCUGAUGCAGCAACGCCGCGUGCGGGAUGACGGCCGUCGGGUUGUAAACCGCUUUCGCCUGUGACGAAGCGUGAGUGACGGUAAUGGGUAAAGAAGCACCGGCUAACUACGUG